RNAcentral lists this transfer RNA (73 nucleotides) under Candidatus Eiseniibacteriota bacterium. Its description in RNAcentral is "tRNA-Lys". It matches the Rfam family "tRNA". Rfam says of the family: Transfer RNA (tRNA) molecules are approximately 80 nucleotides in length. Their secondary structure includes four short double-helical elements and three loops (D, anti-codon, and T loops). Further hydrogen bonds mediate the characteristic L-shaped molecular structure. tRNAs have two regions of fundamental functional importance: the anti-codon, which is responsible for specific mRNA codon recognition, and the 3' end, to which the tRNAs corresponding amino acid is attached (by aminoacyl-tRNA synthetases). tRNAs cope with the degeneracy of the genetic code in two manners: having more than one tRNA (with a specific anti-codon) for a particular amino acid; and 'wobble' base-pairing, i.e. permitting non-standard base-pairing at the 3rd anti-codon position. The record is from RNAcentral. Lineage: Bacteria; Candidatus Eiseniibacteriota.
GAGCCGCUAGCUCAGUCGGUAGAGCAACGGCCUUUUAAGCCGUGGGUCCUGGGUUCGAGUCCCAGGCGGCUCA